RNAcentral lists this long non-coding RNA (1389 nucleotides) under Panax ginseng (ginseng). Its description in RNAcentral is "long non-coding RNA (PGIN_LNC003391)". Lineage: Eukaryota; Viridiplantae; Streptophyta; Magnoliopsida; Apiales; Araliaceae. The record is from RNAcentral.
AAAGUUGAUUGUAUUUCUCAAUUCGUCCUUCUCUGCUUCAUCUUCUUUUAGCCAUCUUUUUAAGGUAAUAUGCUUAAUUGAACUUUAUUUCGUAUUUUGUUCAUAAAAAAGUGUUCUACAAAUUUUUAGAUGAGAUGGCAUAUAAUGCCUCCAAUCACAUGCUGAUCCACAUUCUACUUCACACUUUUAUACGAGUAACCUUUGUCACAUUCAUGCUUUAGUAAGUCCCUUCUGGCAUGCUUAACCUCGAGCUCCCAAGUGAUGCUGACCAAGUUUUUGAUGACUGAAUCAUGUUUGUGGUCCAUCAGUUGACAUCGUUAGAUUUUGUAAUGUUUCUUUUGGAGCCUUAUCUUUUUUUCCAUCUCCAUAUAGAAGAGGGAACUAAGAAAUUUCUGUUAAUGAAGAUCUGAGGGACUUAUAAUUGCCCCCUUCUAUGUAUAUCACUGUCACACAUUGCUCACUCAUUUAUCGCUUCACUCUUUUAUACCGGUGACCUCUGUAAAAUUUCUGCUUUAGAAAGAUCUUCUGGCAUCUUCAGGUCGAAUUUUUCCAGAGGCGCUGGGAGUUAAGAAUGGCAGACAAUCAUCCUUUGCAUUCACAUGUAGUGAAUGUCCUAUAAUUGACCUUACCGACAUGGCUCUCCAUCUAAUUAGAUAGGUCUCCUAUUUCAAAAUCUAGGGGCUCAAGACAAUAUGCUUUUACCUCCAAACUAACACACAAUUAUCAAUAUGAACCUAAAUUUCUACGAGCAAUAUUAAGGUGCUGAUUAGAUCUUUCCUGCUGCUUGGUAUUUUUUAAGAAUCUCCAACACAUACCUUUUUUUCCUGAUUGAUUUAUGUUUUUAUUGCAUAAUAAUUUUUCGUCAUGGGUUUACAGAUAUUGCAUAAUGGGAUUUUGUAGGUGAAAAAAGUGCAGCCAGUGUGCUAGCGAAGCUUAAGUUUAAUCGAUAUACUCAGUUUCAUUACAUGAUAAUAAUUUGGAUCUUCUUGGUCGACAGGCAUAUGUGAGUUCUCUAGUUGGUUUGCAUUUUUUUCAUUCUCUUCUAGAUAUUUUUUUAUAGUCUUCUGAUAUGUUUGUUAUGGAACAGAUUUUUUUCCAGUUUGUCGCCUAAGGGAUCGGGACCUAGGAUUUGGUAUUUGGGGUUUGGUCUAAUCAUUCAUGAUUGCCUGCAGCUCAGGAGGUUUUUGAGAGCAUCAGUUUUUCCCCUGUGAGGAGAGAGGGUAAUAUGGUUGCCCAUGGGUUAACUAAAUUGGUUCAUUCUCCUGUGUUUUUUUUUGUAUUUAAUGGGAGGAGUACCUGAUUUUAUCCUUCCUCUUGUUACUUUGGAUGCUCUGGCUUAAUUUAUUUAAGUCCUCUUUUGGGCUGUUUCAAAAAUAAAAUAAAAUAAAA